Molecule: non-coding RNA, 113 nt
Organism: Acanthosepion pharaonis
Lineage: Eukaryota; Metazoa; Mollusca; Cephalopoda; Sepiida; Sepiidae
Source: the annotation of a GenBank genome assembly
UUACGGCCAUAACACAUUGAAACACCGGUUCCCGUACAAUUACCGAAGUUAAGCAACGUCGGACCUGGUCAAUACCUAAAUGAGUGACCACUUGAAAAUACCAGGUGAUGUAA